ACGGGGCGCAGCAGGCGCGAAAACUUUACAAUGCGGGAAACCGUGAUAAGGGAACACCGAGUGCCAGCAUCAUAUGCUGGCUGUCCAGAUGUGUAAACUACAUCUGUUAGCAAGGGCCGGGCAAGACCGGUGCCAGCCGCCGCGGUAACACCGGCGGCCCGAGUGGUGACCGUUAUUAUUGGGUCUAAAGGGUCCGUAGCCGGUUUGGUCAGUCCUCCGGGAAAUCUGAUAGCUCAACUAUUAGACUUUCGGGGGAUACUGCCAGGCUUGGAACCGGGAGAGGUAAGAGGUACUACAUGGGUAGGAGUGAAAUCUUGUAAUCCCUGUGAGACCACCUGUGGCGAAGGCGUCUUACCAGAACGGGUUCGACGGUGAGGGACGAAAGCUGGGGGCACGAACCGGAUUAGAUACCCGGGUAGUCCCAGCCGUAAACUAUGCUCGCUAGGUGUCAGGCAUGGCGCGACCGUGUCUGGUGCCGCAGGGAAGCCGUGAAGCGAGCCACCUGGGAAGUACGGCCGUAAGGCUGAAACUUAAAGGAAUUGGCGGGGGAGCAC
Molecule: ribosomal RNA, 554 nt
Filed under: uncultured Methanosarcina sp.
Lineage: Archaea; Methanobacteriati; Methanobacteriota; Methanomicrobia; Methanosarcinales; Methanosarcinaceae
Description: bacterial SSU rRNA
Rfam family: Archaeal small subunit ribosomal RNA
Source: RNAcentral